Molecule: ribosomal RNA, 227 nt
Filed under: uncultured Actinomycetales bacterium
Lineage: Bacteria; Bacillati; Actinomycetota; Actinomycetes; Actinomycetales
Description: partial 16S ribosomal RNA
Rfam family: Bacterial small subunit ribosomal RNA
Source: RNAcentral
CGGGUGAGUAACACGUGGGUGAUCUGCCCUGCACUUCGGGAUAAGCCUGGGAAACUGGGUCUAAUACCGGAUAGGAGCCAUUUUUAGUGUGAUGGUUGGAAAGUUUUUCGGUGUAGGAUGAGCUCGCGGCCUAUCAGCUUGUUGGUGGGGUAGUGGCCUACCAAGGCGGCGACGGGUAGCCGGCCUGAGAGGGUGACCGGCCACAUUGGGAUUGAGAUACGGCCCAG